AUAAAUAAUGCCUGUACCAUAACCGACACAGGUGGGUAGGUAGAGUAUACUAAGGGGCGCGAGAUAACUCUCUCUAAGGAACUCGGCAAAAUGACUCCGUAACUUCGGGAGAAGGAGUGCCUUAUUUUUAAGGUUGCAAUAACAAGAUCCAAGCAACUGUUUAUCAAAAACACAGGUCUCCGCUAAGUCGUAAGACGAUGUAUGGGGGCUGACGCCUGCCCAGUGCCAGAAGGUUAAAGAAGUUGGUUAGCACUUGCGAAGCUGAUAACUGAAGCCCUGGUGAACGGCGGCCGUAACUAUAACGGUCCUAAGGUAGCGAAAUUCCUUGUCGGGUAAGUUCCGACCCGCACGAAAGGCGUAAUGAUUUGGAUACUGUCUCGGAGAGGGGCUCGGUGAAAUAGACUUGUCUGUGAAGAUGCGGACUACCUGCACCUGGACAGAAAGACCCUAUGAAGCUUUACUGUAACUUGAAAUUGAAAUUGGACUUUACUUGCGCAGUAUAGGUGGGAGGCGUUGAAUUUAUUCUUGCGGGAAUUUAGGAGCCAUCAGUGAGAUACCACUCUGGUAAUGUUAGAUUUCUAACUUUGAAUCAUGAUCUGGUCAAAGAACAGUUUCAGGCGGGCAGUUUGACUGGGGCGGUCGCCUCCCAAAUGGUAACGGAGGCGUACAAAGGUUUCCUCUGAACGUGUAGAAAUCGUAUCUAGAGUGUAAAGGCAUAAGGAAGCUUGACUGUGAGACCUACAAGUCGAGCAGGGACGAAAGUCGGUCUUAGUGAUCUGACGGUGCUGAGUGGAAAGGCCGUCACUCAACGGAUAAAAGUUACUCUAGGAUAACAGGCUGAUCUCCCCCAAGAGUUCACAUCGACGGGGAGGUUUGGCACCUCGAUGUCGGCUCAUCGCAUCCUGGGGCGGUAGUACGUCCCAAGGGUUGGGCUGUUCGCCCAUGAAAGCGGUACGCGAGCUGGGUUCAGAACGUCGUGAGACAGUUCGGUCCAUAUCCGGUGUAGGCGUUAGAAUAUUGAGAGGAGCCUUCUUUAGUACGAGAGGACCGAGAAGGACAUACCUCUGGUGUACCAGUUAUCGUGCCAACGGUAAACGCUGGGUAGCUAUGUAUGGAGAGGAUAACCGCUGAAAGCAUCUAAGUGGGAAGCCCACCUCAAGAUAAGUAUUCUCAUCACAUAAGUGAGUAAGGUCACGGUAAGACUGACCGUUUAAUAGGCAUUAAGUAUAAAUAUAGUAAUAUAUGAGCUGA
Molecule: ribosomal RNA, 1251 nt
Filed under: metagenome
Description: bacterial LSU rRNA
Rfam family: Bacterial large subunit ribosomal RNA
Source: RNAcentral